AACUGAUACUACCUGCGGGAACCUGCGGAAGGAUCAUUACCGAGUUUACAACUCCCAAACCCAAUGUGAACGUUACCAAACUGUUGCCUCGGCGGGAUCUCUGCCCCGGGUGCGUCGCAGCCCCGGACCAAGGCGCCCGCCGGAGGACCAACCUAAAACUCUUUUGUAUACCCCCUCGCGGGUUUUUUAUAUCUGAGCCAUCUCGGCGCCUCUCGUAGGCGUUUCGAAAAUGAAUCAAAA
Molecule: unclassified non-coding RNA, 240 nt
Filed under: soil metagenome
Description: partial contains 5.8S ribosomal RNA, internal transcribed spacer 2, and large subunit ribosomal RNA
Source: RNAcentral